GGAGCUGUGGCUCAGAGGAAGAGCUUUUGCUUUGAAUGCCAAAGGCCCCAGGUUCAAUCCCUGGCAGCUCCA
Eublepharis macularius is the source of this 72-nucleotide non-coding RNA. The record is from the annotation of a RefSeq genome assembly. NCBI's taxonomy places the organism in Eukaryota, Metazoa, Chordata, Lepidosauria, Squamata, Eublepharidae.